RNAcentral lists this transfer RNA (85 nucleotides) under Candidatus Moranbacteria bacterium CG_4_10_14_3_um_filter_44_15. RNAcentral describes it as "tRNA-Ser". It matches the Rfam family "tRNA". Rfam says of the family: Transfer RNA (tRNA) molecules are approximately 80 nucleotides in length. Their secondary structure includes four short double-helical elements and three loops (D, anti-codon, and T loops). The record is from RNAcentral. RNAcentral also lists the same sequence under 4 other names. Lineage: Bacteria; Candidatus Moraniibacteriota.
GGAAGGGUCGCAUAGUGGCCUAGUGCGCUCGCUUGGAAAGCGGGUAUACCGCAAGGUAUCGAGGGUUCGACUCCCUCCCCUUCCG